GAUGAACGCUGGCGGCGUGCCUAAUACAUGCAAGUCGAGCGAACGGACGCGAAGCUUGUUUCUCUGUUGUUAGCGGCGCACGGGUGAGUAACACGUGGAUACCCUCCCUAUAUGACUGGGAUCACUUCGGGAAACGGUAGCUAAUACCGGAUAAUCUUUUGAACCGCAUGGUUGAAAGGUGAGAUACGGUCUUGCUGUAACUUAUCGAUGGAUAUGCGCUGCAUGAGCUAGUUGGUAAGGUAACAGCCUACCAAGGCAACGAUGCAUAGCCGACGUGAUAGAGGGAUCGCCCACCUGGGAGCGUGACCGCCGACCAGACGCCUGCGAGAGGCAGCAGUAGCGUACCGUCCGCAAUGGGCGAGAGCCUGACAGAGCGACGGCGCGUGAGUGAUGGAGGUCUCCGGAUCGUAAUACUCUGUUAUGAGUGAAGAACAUAUGUGUACGGAACUGUGCACAUCUUGACGGUAACUAAUCAGAAAGCCACGGCUAACUACGUG
RNAcentral lists this ribosomal RNA (497 nucleotides) under uncultured bacterium. Its description in RNAcentral is "partial 16S ribosomal RNA". It matches the Rfam family "Bacterial small subunit ribosomal RNA", at positions 28 to 507 of the family's 1533-position model. The record is from RNAcentral.